This 1322-nucleotide long non-coding RNA is filed under the name Equus caballus (horse). RNAcentral describes it as "lncRNA (ENSECAG00000060085.1)". The record is from RNAcentral. Lineage: Eukaryota; Metazoa; Chordata; Mammalia; Perissodactyla; Equidae.
CCGAGCCCGUCAGCAGACUUGCCUCCCGCGUGGAGGCCCCUGCCGCAGGAGUGACCAGCCCAUUCCCACGGGGCCCAGCUCGGCAGCCUCUGCCCUGUCUUCUUUCACACAAGCGCGCGCUGAAGAGCAAGGGCACGAGAGUGAGGCCUGCAGAGGAUUGUUAUAACAGACGUGAUACAUGCAAAAUGCCUGGCCCAGAAUAGGAGCACGUGACGGUCCUGUAAGUUGGUUCACUCAAAAUCUAUUCUCCAACAUCUCCUUCUUGGCCUUCCUCUACUAGAGAAGAGAGAAGAGGAAAUGAUACUCAAGCUUCCAGCUCCCCUGUACUUAGGGGUGGCCACAAAACCCAGCUACGGCCAAUGAGAGGAAGGUAGAAGUCCUUGACUUUUCCAAAUCUAAAAGCAGAGCUUCUGAGCAGCAAGUCCUUACUCCUCUGUUCUUCCCUCAUACCUUCUUGCCUGGAACUCAACUUGAGGGUAGAGGUAGAGCAGCCAUCUUGUAGUCAUGAGGUAACGAGCACAGAUCAGAAGUGAAGAAUGAUGGGGUAGCAAGACAAAAAGUACUGAGUGCUUAAUGACAUCACUGAGCCACUAUUUUAGCCCAUGGCUACCUGCCCAGAAAUUUAUUGUUGUGUGAGACAACCGCCUUCCUGGUAUGAGCCAAUGUUUGUUGGGGUUUCUGCUAUGUGAAGCAAAUGCAAUCAAUAACAACAGCUAUCAUCACCAUCAUCAUCCCCACCACCAUCACCGCUAUCAUCACCAUCUCUGCUCUCCUGCAUCUGCAACAACCUCCAGCUCGCAGCUUUAGAUUUUAUUAUCUAAUUGGGAGCCAAUUAAGACUUACUAAAUGAACCUCUGAAGUGUCAUUUCCCAGGGAGUAUUCCAAGAAACAUCGGUUCUUCCAGAUAUUAAUAGAUGUUCUGAGAAAAGAAAAAGCUGCCUGGUUAAGUGAACAAAUGGUGGGACCUGGCAGAGAUGGUUAUCCCAGCGGUUUCCCGUUGGUAUCCUCUCUGGGAGCUUUGCAAAGGAUAUGCCUAAAAGGGAACUUGCAAAGAAUCCAUGUCAGAGCCCCAACUACCGUAAAUACUCUUUCCAAAAAUCCCUAUAUCUGAGGACUCCUUGCUAUGGUUCUCCUCUCUCCCGCCCUUCCACCACGUCCAUCCUCCCUCCAUACAAAAGAAAGGCGUGCUGCCCAUUGGAUCAGAAAUCCCCCGGAGCGUUCCCGUGCAGGGUCGAAAUGCCUGUGCUGCGAAGGACAAUCCCAAACCUGGGGUUUCACUGGACUCUAAUGACCAGGUCAGCCUUUUACAAGUCACGUGGUUG